RNAcentral lists this ribosomal RNA (253 nucleotides) under uncultured bacterium. RNAcentral describes it as "partial 16S ribosomal RNA". It matches the Rfam family "Bacterial small subunit ribosomal RNA", at positions 524 to 776 of the family's 1533-position model. The record is from RNAcentral.
UACGUAGGUGGCGAGCGUUGUCCGGAAUUAUUGGGCGUAAAGAGCGCGUAGGCGGAUUGCCAGGUCCGACGUGAAACCCCGGGGCUCAACUCCGGACGUGCAUCGGAAACCGGCUUGCUAGAGUCUGGGAGAGGGGAGUGGAAUUCCUGGUGUAGCGGUGAAAUGCGCAGAUAUCAGGAGGAAUACCGGUAGCGAAGGCUGCUCCCUGGAACAGUACUGACGCUGAGGCGCGAAAGCUAGGGGAGCGAACAGG